RNA transcript from Salvia hispanica, 948 nucleotides. It is a transcript of the gene named RNA-binding (RRM/RBD/RNP motifs) family protein, with no coding region annotated. The record is from RefSeq and is a predicted model, not a curated record. Lineage: Eukaryota; Viridiplantae; Streptophyta; Magnoliopsida; Lamiales; Lamiaceae.
CCUCUCAAAGGGGCGAAUCUGGGUUUAGUCAAACUUGAGGGGCUCUAAAUUAAAUUAUAUCAACAAAUUGAGUGCCUAAUCGACUCAAUCGCGAAACAGAAUAUUAGCCGGAGAAGAUGGCCGCUCCCGCUCUCAGUCACCGCAUUCUACCGCGUCGGUUUCUCACACCACCGCCGGUAUCUUCAGUUACGUUGGUAGUGCUUGAAUCGAAAAGACGGUUUCAUCCUCCAUUCCCCUCUCUGUUAUCCAUCCACAACAAUCCUCCACACUUUCCCCCAAAUUUUAAUUUUCGCGUAUCUUCAUGCCUUGAUUCUCCUUCGUCAACGCCAAGAACUAGAUUGAAUCCUUCUAAAAGGCUAUUCGUUAGUGGUCUCUCAUUCCGGACAACGGAGGAGAGUCUAAGAAACGCAUUCAAAAACUUUGGUGAACUCAUUGAAGUUAAGUUGGUGAUGGAUAGGAUAGCGAAUCGGCCUCGAGGUUUUGCAUUCCUGCAAUAUAAGACAGAGGAGGAAUCCAAUAAAGCUGUUGAAGGAAUGCAUGGGAAGGAUCUAAAAGCAUAAGCUGGUAGAGAGAAAUAUGAUUUUGAUGCACAACAUUCAUGAAGAGAUACGUUGUGAAAUUUCUGGAUGGGCGGGUUAUCUUUGUUGAGGCUGCAAAGCCUAGGGCCGAACAUGGGCAAGAGAUGAAGCAGCAGAACCCCAGGCAGAGGUGAAGAUGAUACCAGUGCUUGGCCAGGCCAGACAAGGCGACAGUGCGCUGAUCAGAAUGUCGUCACACCCCACUUGUGAUCAAGGUCUAUAUGAUGAGGUUAAGUUUUACUCUGUCUUCUUCAUGUUCUUCACAACCUUGUUCGAUUUCAUUGUAAUUGCAUUCAAAUCUUACUACAUCAUUGUAUCCAAAACUAGUAUAUGACAUUAACAGGCUAGUAUGACUACAUUUGUAGACUAA